UACGGGGGGGGCAAGCGUUGUUCGGAAUUACUGGGCGUAAAGGGCUCGUAGGCGGCCAACUAAGUCAGACGUGAAAUCCCUCGGCUUAACCGGGGAACUGCGUCUGACACUGGAUGGCUGGAGUUUGGGAGAGGGAUGCGGAAUUCCAGGUGUAGCGGUGAAAUGCGUAGAUAUCUGGAGGAACACCGGUGGCGAAGGCGGCAUCCUGGACCGGCAUUGACGCUGAGGCGCGAAAGCCAGGGGAGCAAACGGG
RNAcentral lists this ribosomal RNA (253 nucleotides) under uncultured bacterium. Its description in RNAcentral is "partial 16S ribosomal RNA". It matches the Rfam family "Bacterial small subunit ribosomal RNA", at positions 524 to 776 of the family's 1533-position model. The record is from RNAcentral.